RNAcentral lists this ribosomal RNA (1332 nucleotides) under uncultured bacterium. RNAcentral's name for it is "bacterial SSU rRNA". It matches the Rfam family "Bacterial small subunit ribosomal RNA", at positions 28 to 1381 of the family's 1533-position model. The record is from RNAcentral.
GACGAACGCUGGCGGCGCGCCUAACACAUGCAAGUCGAACGAGAGAUGAGGAGCUUGCUCUUCAAAUCGAGUGGCGAACGGGUGAGUAACGCGUGAGGAACCUGCCUCAAAGAGGGGGACAACAGUUGGAAACGACUGCUAAUACCGCAUAAGCCCACGGCUCGGCAUCGAGCAGAGGGAAAAGGAGCAAUCCGCUUUGAGAUGGCCUCGCGUCCGAUUAGCUAGUUGGUGAGGUAACGGCCCACCAAGGCGACGAUCGGUAGCCGGACUGAGAGGUUGAACGGCCACAUUGGGACUGAGACACGGCCCAGACUCCUACGGGAGGCAGCAGUGGGGAAUAUUGCACAAUGGGGGAAACCCUGAUGCAGCGACGCCGCGUGGAGGAAGAAGGUCUUCGGAUUGUAAACUCCUGUUGUUGAGGAAGAUAAUGACGGUACUCAACAAGGAAGUGACGGCUAACUACGUGCCAGCAGCCGCGGUAAAACGUAGGUCACAAGCGUUGUCCGGAAUUACUGGGUGUAAAGGGAGCGCAGGCGGGAGAACAAGUUGGAAGUGAAAUCCAUGGGCUCAACCCAUGAACUGCUUUCAAAACUGUUUUUCUUGAGUAGUGCAGAGGUAGGCGGAAUUCCCGGUGUAGCGGUGGAAUGCGUAGAUAUCGGGAGGAACACCAGUGGCGAAGGCGGCCUACUGGGCACCAACUGACGCUGAGGCUCGAAAGUGUGGGUAGCAAACAGGAUUAGAUACCCUGGUAGUCCACACCGUAAACGAUGAUUACUAGGUGUUGGAGGAUUGACCCCUUCAGUGCCGCAGUUAACACAAUAAGUAAUCCACCUGGGGAGUACGACCGCAAGGUUGAAACUCAAAGGAAUUGACGGGGGCCCGCACAAGCAGUGGAGUAUGUGGUUUAAUUCGACGCAACGCGAAGAACCUUACCAAGUCUUGACAUCCUGCGACGCACAUAGAAAUAUGUGUUUCCUUCGGGACGCAGAGACAGGUGGUGCAUGGUUGUCGUCAGCUCGUGUCGUGAGAUGUUGGGUUAAGUCCCGCAACGAGCGCAACCCUUAUGGUCAGUUACUACGCAAGAGGACUCUGGCCAGACUGCCGUUGACAAAACGGAGGAAGGUGGGGAUGACGUCAAAUCAUCAUGCCCUUUAUGACUUGGGCUACACACGUACUACAAUGGCGUUAAACAAAGAGAAGCAAGACCGCGAGGUGGAGCAAAACUCAGAAACAACGUCCCAGUUCGGACUGCAGGCUGCAACUCGCCUGCACGAAGUCGGAAUUGCUAGUAAUCGUGGAUCAGCAUGCCACGGUGAAUACGUUCCCGGGCCU